AAACCCAGGGAGGGAAACCUGGCCUUCCUGGAAAGACGGGGCCACUGGAUGACAGACGCUGCCACAUCUUCCUAGGGGAUGCUCAGCCCACCUUCCACUCCCACAGCCCAGCUCUGGACACUGGCGAGGAAGCAAGCGGCUGUGGGAGGUGCCUUGGGCAGGGGAAGGCUGCCUUGUGGGGACAGCCACUGGGCUUGGAGGUCACACAGAUCA
RNAcentral lists this long non-coding RNA (213 nucleotides) under Homo sapiens (human). Its description in RNAcentral is "HSALNT0068471". The record is from RNAcentral. Lineage: Eukaryota; Metazoa; Chordata; Mammalia; Primates; Hominidae.